RNAcentral lists this ribosomal RNA (482 nucleotides) under Veillonella parvula. RNAcentral describes it as "bacterial SSU rRNA". It matches the Rfam family "Bacterial small subunit ribosomal RNA", at positions 28 to 479 of the family's 1533-position model. Lineage: Bacteria; Bacillati; Bacillota; Negativicutes; Veillonellales; Veillonellaceae. The record is from RNAcentral.
GACGAACGCUGGCGGCGUGCUUAACACAUGCAAGUCGAACGAAGAGCGAUGGAAGCUUGCUUCUAUCAAUCUUAGUGGCGAACGGGUGAGUAACGCGUAAUCAACCUGCCCUUCAGAGGGGGACAACAGUUGGAAACGACUGCUAAUACCGCAUACGAUCUAAUCUCGGCAUCGAGGAUAGAUGAAAGGUGGCCUCUACAUGUAAGCUAUCACUGAAGGAGGGGAUUGCGUCUGAUUAGCUAGUUGGAGGGGUAACGGCCCACCAAGGCGAUGAUCAGUAGCCGGUCUGAGAGGAUGAACGGCCACAUUGGGACUGAGACACGGCCCAGACUCCUACGGGAGGCAGCAGUGGGGAAUCUUCCGCAAUGGACGAAAGUCUGACGGAGCAACGCCGCGUGAGUGAUGACGGCCUUCGGGUUGUAAAGCUCUGUUAAUCGGGACGAAAGGCCUUCUUGCGAAUAGUUAGAAGGCAUGACGGUACC